GGCACGCCUAAACAUGCAAGUCGAACGAAGUAGCAAUACUUAGUGGCAGACGGGUGAGUAACAUGUGGGUAUCUACCCUUUGGCCUGGAAUAACACGAGGAAACUUGUGCUAAUACCGGAUAAGUCUUUACGGAGAAAGCUUUAUGCACCAAUGGAUGAGCCUGCACUUGAUUAGUUUGUUGGUAGGGUAAUGGCCUACCAAGACUGUGAUCAAUAGCUGAUUUGAGAGGAUGAUCAGCCACAUUGGGACUGAGACACGGCCCAAACUCCUACGGGAGGCAGCAGUGGGGAAUCUUGCACAAUGGAGGAAACUCUGAUGCAGCGAUGCCGCGUGAGUGAAGAAGGCCCUUGGGUUGUAAAGCUCUUUCGUCGGGGAAGAAAAUGACUGUACCCGAAUAAGAAGGUCCG
Molecule: ribosomal RNA, 408 nt
Filed under: uncultured Pseudomonadota bacterium
Lineage: Bacteria; Pseudomonadati; Pseudomonadota
Description: bacterial SSU rRNA
Rfam family: Bacterial small subunit ribosomal RNA
Source: RNAcentral